Molecule: ribosomal RNA, 474 nt
Filed under: uncultured bacterium
Lineage: Bacteria
Description: bacterial SSU rRNA
Rfam family: Bacterial small subunit ribosomal RNA
Source: RNAcentral
GAGUUGCCCCCUACGGGGAGGCAGCAGUGGGGAAUAUUGCACAAUGGGCGCAAGCCUGAUGCAGCGACGCCGCGUGAGGGAUGAAGGCCUUCGGGUUGUAAACCUCUUUCGUCAGGGAACAAGGCACUGCUUUUUUGGUGGUGUUGAGGGUACCUGGAUAAGAAGCGCCGGCUAACUACGUGCCAGCAGCCGCGGUAAUACGUAGGGCGCAAGCGUUGUCCGGAAUUAUUGGGCGUAAAGAGCUCGUAGGCGGCUGGUCGCGUCUGUCGUGAAAACUUCCGGCUCAACCGGGGGCUUGCGGUGGGUACGGGCCGGCUAGGGUGCGGUAGGGGUAACUGGCACUCCGGGUGUAGCGGUGGAAUGCGCAGAUAUCAGGAAGAACACCGAUGGCGAAGGCAGGUUACUGGGCCGUUACUGACGCUGAGGAGCGAAAGCGUGGGGAGCGAACAGGAUUAGAUACCCUUGUAGUCCUAG